RNAcentral lists this ribosomal RNA (539 nucleotides) under Pseudoalteromonas tunicata. RNAcentral's name for it is "bacterial SSU rRNA". It matches the Rfam family "Bacterial small subunit ribosomal RNA", at positions 53 to 581 of the family's 1533-position model. Lineage: Bacteria; Pseudomonadati; Pseudomonadota; Gammaproteobacteria; Alteromonadales; Pseudoalteromonadaceae. The record is from RNAcentral.
ACAUGCAAGUCGAGCGGUAGCACAGAGAAACUUGUUUCUUGGGUGACGAGCGGCGGACGGGUGAGUAAUGCUUGGGAACAUGCCUUUAGGUGGGGGACAACAGUUGGAAACGACUGCUAAUACCGCAUGAUGUCUACGGACCAAAGUGGGGGACCUUCGGGCCUCACGCCUAAAGAUUGGCCCAAGUGGGAUUAGCUAGUUGGUGAGGUAAUGGCUCACCAAGGCAACGAUCUCUAGCUGGUUUGAGAGGAUGAUCAGCCACACUGGAACUGAGACACGGUCCAGACUCCUACGGGAGGCAGCAGUGGGGAAUAUUGCACAAUGGGCGAAAGCCUGAUGCAGCCAUGCCGCGUGUGUGAAGAAGGCCUUCGGGUUGUAAAGCACUUUCAGUCAGGAGGAAAGGUUACGUUUUAAUAGAGCGUAGCUGUGACGUUACUGACAGAAGAAGCACCGGCUAACUCCGUGCCAGCAGCCGCGGUAAUACGGAAGGUGCGAGCGUUAAUCGGAAUUACUGGGCGUAAAGCGUACGCCCGCGGUUG